CCUACGGGUGUCUGCAGUGAGGCAUAUUGGUCAAUGGACGAUAGUCUGAACCAGCCAAGUAGCGUGAAGGAUGACUGCCCUAUGGGUUGUAAACUUCUUUUAUAAAUGAAUAAAACGAGGCACGUGUGCCUUUUUGCAUGUACUUUAUGAAUAAGGAUCGGCUAACUCCGUUUCAGCAGCCGCGGUAAGACGUAGGAUCCGAGCGUUAUCCGGAUUUAUUGGGUUUAAAGGGAGCGUAUAUGGUUUGUGAAGUCAGUUGUGAAAGUUUGCGGCUCAACCUUAAAAUUGCAAUUGAUACUGGCAGUCUUGAGUACAGUUGAGGUAGGCGGAAUGCGUGGUGUAGCGGUGAAAUGCUUAGAUAUCACGAAGAACCCCGAUUGCGAAGGCAGCUUACUAAACUGUGACUGACAUUGAUGCUCGAAAGUGUGGGUAUCAAACAGGAUUAGAGACCCGUGUAGUC
This 460-nucleotide ribosomal RNA is filed under the name uncultured bacterium. RNAcentral's name for it is "partial 16S ribosomal RNA". It matches the Rfam family "Bacterial small subunit ribosomal RNA", at positions 338 to 795 of the family's 1533-position model. The record is from RNAcentral.